GCCCUCGUAGUUCAACGGAUAGAACAGCGGCCUUCUAAGCCGCGGAUAGGGGUUCGAUUCCUCUCGAGGGUACCA
Molecule: transfer RNA, 75 nt
Filed under: Candidatus Kerfeldbacteria bacterium CG08_land_8_20_14_0_20_40_16
Lineage: Bacteria; Candidatus Kerfeldiibacteriota
Description: tRNA-Arg
Rfam family: tRNA
About the family: Transfer RNA (tRNA) molecules are approximately 80 nucleotides in length. Their secondary structure includes four short double-helical elements and three loops (D, anti-codon, and T loops). Further hydrogen bonds mediate the characteristic L-shaped molecular structure. tRNAs have two regions of fundamental functional importance: the anti-codon, which is responsible for specific mRNA codon recognition, and the 3' end, to which the tRNAs corresponding amino acid is attached (by aminoacyl-tRNA synthetases). tRNAs cope with the degeneracy of the genetic code in two manners: having more than one tRNA (with a specific anti-codon) for a particular amino acid; and 'wobble' base-pairing, i.e. permitting non-standard base-pairing at the 3rd anti-codon position.
Source: RNAcentral